This 478-nucleotide ribosomal RNA is filed under the name uncultured bacterium. RNAcentral's name for it is "partial 16S ribosomal RNA". It matches the Rfam family "Bacterial small subunit ribosomal RNA", at positions 28 to 523 of the family's 1533-position model. The record is from RNAcentral.
GAUGAAUGCUGGCGGCGUGCUUAACACAUGCAAGUCGAGCGAGAGAGUUUCUUCGGAAACAAUCUAGCGGCGGACGGGUGAGUAACACGUGGGCAACCUGCCUUGUAGUGGGGGAUAGCCCUCCGAAAGGAGGAUUAAUACCGCAUAUUGUCACAUUGAGGCAUCUCAAAGUGAUGAAAGGAGUAAUCCGCUACAAGAUGGGCCCGCGGCGCAUGAGCUAGUUGGUGAGGUAACGGCUCACCAAGGCGACGAUGCGUAGCCGACCUGAGCGGGUGAUCGGCCACAUUGGGACUGCUACACGGCCCAGACUCCUACGGGAGGCAGCAGUGGGGAAUAUUGCACAAUGGGGGAAACCCUGAUGCAGCAACGCCGCGUGAGUGGUGAAGGUCUUCGGAUUGUAAAGCUCUGUCUUCGGGGACGAUAAUGACGGUACCCGAGGAGGGAGCCACGGCUAACUACGUGCCAGCCGCCGCGGUAA